RNAcentral lists this ribosomal RNA (325 nucleotides) under uncultured eukaryote. Its description in RNAcentral is "partial 18S ribosomal RNA". It matches the Rfam family "Eukaryotic small subunit ribosomal RNA", at positions 1470 to 1796 of the family's 1831-position model. The record is from RNAcentral.
CCCUUAGAUGUUCUGGGCUGCACGCGCGCUACACUGAUGCGCUCAACGAGUUUUAACCUUGCCUGGAAAGGUUGGGUAAUCUUUUUAAAACGCAUCGUGAUGGGGAUAGAUUAUUGCAAUUAUUAAUCUUCAACGAGGAAUUCCUAGUAAGCGCGAGUCAUCAGCUCGUGCUGAUUACGUCCCUGCGCUUUGUACACACCACCCGUCGCUCCUACCGAUUGAGUGAUCCGGUGAAUAAUUCGGACUGCGGCAUUGACCGGUUCCCGAUCGUUGCUGCGGAAAGUUUAGUGAACCUUAUCACUUAGAGGAAGGAGAAGUCGUAACA